Molecule: ribosomal RNA, 450 nt
Filed under: uncultured organism
Description: partial 16S ribosomal RNA
Rfam family: Bacterial small subunit ribosomal RNA
Source: RNAcentral
UACACUCCUGCGGGAGGCAGCAGUGGGGAAUAUUGGCCAAUGGGCGCAAGCCUGAUCCAGCCAUGCCGCGUGAGUGAUGAAGGCCCUAGGGUUGUAAAGCUCUUUCACCGGUGAAGAUAAUGACGGUAACCGGAGAAGAAGCCCCGGCUAACUUCGUGCCAGCAGCCGCGGUAAUACGAAGGGGGCUAGCGUUGUUCGGAUUUACUGGGCGUAAAGCGCACGUAGGCGGACUAUUAAGUCAGGGGUGAAAUCCCGGGGCUCAACCCCGGAACUGCCUUUGAUACUGGUAGUCUUGAGUUCGAGAGAGGUGAGUGGAAUUCCGAGUGUAGAGGUGAAAUUCGUAGAUAUUCGGAGGAACACCAGUGGCGAAGGCGGCUCACUGGCUCGAUACUGACGCUGAGGUGCGAAAGCGUGGGGAGCAAACAGGAUUAGAAACCUAGUAGUCCCAUG